RNAcentral lists this transfer RNA (66 nucleotides) under Cirroteuthis muelleri. RNAcentral's name for it is "tRNA-Ala". The record is from RNAcentral. Lineage: Eukaryota; Metazoa; Mollusca; Cephalopoda; Octopoda; Cirroteuthidae.
GGUAUUAUAUUUUAAUGAGAAAAUUUAAUUUGCAAUUAAAAAGUAUGAUAAAAAUCUUUAUUACCA